GUCGAGCGAACAGACGAGGAGCUUGCUCCUCUGACGUUAGCGGCGGACGGGUGAGUAACACGUGGAUAACCUACCUAUAAGACUGGGAUAACUUCGGGAAACCGGAGCUAAUACCGGAUAAUAUAUUGAACCGCAUGGUUCAAUAGUGAAAGACGGUUUUGCUGUCACUUAUAGAUGGAUCCGCGCCGCAUUAGCUAGUUGGUAAGGUAACGGCUUACCAAGGCAACGAUGCGUAGCCGACCUGAGAGGGUGAUCGGCCACACUGGAACUGAGACACGGUCCAGACUCCUACGGGAGGCAGCAGUAGGGAAUCUUCCGCAAUGGGCGAAAGCCUGACGGAGCAACGCCGCGUGAGUGAUGAAGGUCUUCGGAUCGUAAAACUCUGUUAUUAGGGAAGAACAAAUGUGUAAGUAACUAUGCACGUCUUGACGGUACCUAAUCAGAAAGCCACGGCUAACUACGUGCCAGCAGCCGCGGUAAUACGUAGGUGGCAAGCGUUAUCCGGAAUUAUUGGGCGUAAAGCGCGCGUAGGCGGUUUUUUAAGUCUGAUGUGAAAGCCCACGGCUCAACCGUGGAGGGUCAUUGGAAACUGGAAAACUUGAGUGCAGAAGAGGAAAGUGGAAUUCCAUGUGUAGCGGUGAAAUGCGCAGAGAUAUGGAGGAACACCAGUGGCGAAGGCGACUUUCUGGUCUGUAACUGACGCUGAUGUGCGAAAG
Molecule: ribosomal RNA, 716 nt
Filed under: uncultured Staphylococcus sp.
Lineage: Bacteria; Bacillati; Bacillota; Bacilli; Caryophanales; Staphylococcaceae
Description: bacterial SSU rRNA
Rfam family: Bacterial small subunit ribosomal RNA
Source: RNAcentral